This is a small nucleolar RNA of 82 nucleotides. Its record names the gene SNORD79. It matches the Rfam family "Small nucleolar RNA SNORD79". Rfam says of the family: snoRNA U79 or Z22 is found in intron 7 of the gas5 gene in humans and is also present in mice. U79 is a member of the C/D class of snoRNA which contain C (UGAUGA) and D (CUGA) box motifs. The record is from Ensembl.
UGCUGUAUAUGAUGACUUUUGUUUAAAACAUUGGGAAUCUCUCUGAAUAAGAGUGAAGGAGAACUUUUUUUCUGAUGCGGCG